Molecule: small RNA, 109 nt
Filed under: marine metagenome
Description: Rhizobiales sRNA Atu_At1
Rfam family: Rhizobiales sRNA Atu_At1
Source: Rfam by way of RNAcentral
CUGGGAGCCGUGUUAACCGGACGCGACAGGGAUGGUGAACGCAGCGGCUUUUUCCCGUUUCACCCUGCGGCCAACGAAAUGGCAGUCGAGCAUCCAACCUGUCCGGCUC